RNAcentral lists this ribosomal RNA (274 nucleotides) under uncultured bacterium. Its description in RNAcentral is "partial 16S ribosomal RNA". It matches the Rfam family "Bacterial small subunit ribosomal RNA", at positions 523 to 796 of the family's 1533-position model. The record is from RNAcentral.
AUACGGAGGGCGCAAGCGUUAAUCGGAAUUACUGGGCGUAAAGGACGCGUAGGCGGGUUGGCAAGUCAGAUGUGAAAUCCUACGGCUUAACUGUAGAACUGCAUUUGAAACUGCUAACCUAGAGUAUGGGAGGGGGAGAUGGAAUUAGUGGUGUAGGGGUAAAAUCCGUAGAUAUCACUAGGAAUACCGAAAGCGAAGGCGAUCUCCUGGAACAUAACUGACGCUAAGGCGUGAAAGCGUGGGGAGCAAACAGGAUUAGAUACCCCAGUAGUCC